GCCUGGCUGGCUCAGUCAGUAGAGCAUGAGACUCUUGAUCUCGAGGUUGUGAGUUCAAGCCUCAUGUUGGGUG
Molecule: non-coding RNA, 73 nt
Organism: Leopardus geoffroyi (Geoffroy's cat)
Lineage: Eukaryota; Metazoa; Chordata; Mammalia; Carnivora; Felidae
Source: the annotation of a RefSeq genome assembly